UACGGGGGGAGCAAGCGUUGUUCGGAUUUACUGGGCGUAAAGGGCGCGUAGGCGGUCAGCACAGGUCAGUUGUGAAAUCUCCGGGCUUAACUCGGAAAGGUCAACUGAUACUGUGCGACUAGAGUGCGGAAGGGGCAACUGGAAUUCUCGGUGUAGCGGUGAAAUGCGUAGAUAUCGAGAGGAACACCUGCGGCGAAGGCGGGUUGCUGGGCCGACACUGACGCUGAUGCGCGAAAGCCAGGGGAGCGAACGGG
RNAcentral lists this ribosomal RNA (254 nucleotides) under uncultured bacterium. RNAcentral's name for it is "partial 16S ribosomal RNA". It matches the Rfam family "Bacterial small subunit ribosomal RNA", at positions 524 to 776 of the family's 1533-position model. The record is from RNAcentral.